This 662-nucleotide ribosomal RNA is filed under the name fungal endophyte. RNAcentral describes it as "eukaryotic LSU rRNA". The stretch from base 191 to 344 matches the Rfam family "5.8S ribosomal RNA". The record is from RNAcentral. Lineage: Eukaryota; Fungi.
CGGAGGGAUCAUUAAAGAGUUCUAUAACUCCCAAACCCAUGUGAACAUACCUAACGUUGCCUCGGCAGGUCGCACCUACCUUGUAGCACCCUACCCUGUAGGGCCUACCCGGGAGGUGCGGGUAAGCCUGCCGGCGGCCCACCAAACUCUGUUUGAUAUUGAAUUCUGAACCUAUAACUAAAUAAGUUAAAACUUUCAACAACGGAUCUCUUGGUUCUGGCAUCGAUGAAGAACGCAGCGAAAUGCGAUAAGUAAUGUGAAUUGCAGAAUUCAGUGAAUCAUCGAAUCUUUGAACGCAUAUUGCGCCCAUUAGUAUUCUAGUGGGCAGGACCGUUCGAGCGUCAUUUCAACCCUUAAGCCUUCGUUGCUUAGUGUUGGGAGCCUACGGCAACGUAGCUCCUCAAAGUUAGUGGCGGAGUUGGUUCACACUCUAGACGUAGUAAUUUUUUAUCUCGCCUAUUAGUUGGACUAAUCCCCUGCCGUAAAACCCCCAAUUUAUCAAGGUUGACCUCGAAUCGGUUCAGACAAACUCGCUAAAUUGAAGCAUCUUAGUCAGCGAAGGAAAAGAAACCAACAGGGAUUGCCCUAGUAACGGCGAGUGAAGCGGCAACAGCUCAAAUUUGAAAUCUGGCCCUCGGGUCCGAGUUGUAAUUUGUAGAGGA